Molecule: long non-coding RNA, 503 nt
Organism: Stomoxys calcitrans (stable fly)
Lineage: Eukaryota; Metazoa; Arthropoda; Insecta; Diptera; Muscidae
Exons: 2
Source: RefSeq, a predicted model, not a curated record
CUAGUUUACUACCUUAAAUUCUAAUUGCUUUUAAAAUUGUUUACAAUUUUAAUAUUCCUUAUCUUCUCCAGCUUUUCGGUUUACAAUUAAUGAACAAAAAGUCGUGCAGCACACUAAUUAACACUCUUUUGUACUGUCAUAUUAAUUCAUUAGGAAAGUAUUUGCUAUAAAAACCGUCUAGAUUCUCUGGAUAAUCAUUCAGUUUUCUUUGCAAAUUAUAGCAAAACAAACCAACUCCAAAAAGUCCAAUAUGAAAUUCUUUGCAACCAUUGCUGUAGCCGUUAUGGGUGUUUUGGCAAUUGCUUCUGCUAAUCCUGAACCCAUCUUACCCGUAGUUACCGGUUUGACCGAGGGAAUGGGAAUCGGAAAGUGAGAAAAUGAAUGGUUUUGAAAAUUUUGAACUCAUCACAAAGGCCAAUGGAAUGUACUAGGACUAAUCCGAAUAAUUUAUUAAACGAAAUCUAAAAACCUAAUAAAAAUAAAUUUAGAGCACAAUAACUAAA